UACGUAGGAGACGAGCGUUGUCCGGAAUUACUGGCGUAAAGCGCGUGUAGGCGGAUGAGCAAGUCUGCUGUGAAAGCUCCUGGCUUAACCGGGAGUGGUCGGUGGAAACUGCUCGUCUGGAGGACGGUAGAGGCUGGUGGAAUUCCGGUGUAGUGGUGAAAUGCGUAGAGAUCGGAGGAACACCUGUGGCGAAGGCGGCCAGCCUGGGCCGG
RNAcentral lists this ribosomal RNA (212 nucleotides) under uncultured bacterium. Its description in RNAcentral is "partial 16S ribosomal RNA". It matches the Rfam family "Bacterial small subunit ribosomal RNA", at positions 524 to 737 of the family's 1533-position model. The record is from RNAcentral.